This is a long non-coding RNA of Brassica napus (rape), 1913 nucleotides long. RefSeq lists it as uncharacterized. The transcript has 4 exons. NCBI's taxonomy places the organism in Eukaryota, Viridiplantae, Streptophyta, Magnoliopsida, Brassicales, Brassicaceae. The record is from RefSeq and is a predicted model, not a curated record.
GAAGCGUGCCACGUCAUCACAAAAAAUUAAUCAAUAAGAAAAAUCCUCUCUGCCAUGUCAUUUAUGUUUAGCCAAUUCUUAAAAAAAAUCGGGUCUCAUAUAUGGCCCAAGUAAAAAAACACUUGAGAAAUCCUAAUCUUCUAAAACAUCGGUCUCCUAACUCAUUCCAUUCAAUCAUCUUCUAAGUUUCAUCUUCUUCCAUUUCCGUUACCCAUCCCCCUCUGUAAUUAAUCGUUUCCUUUCACCUCCCUCUCUUCAUUUUUUUAUAAACUCUUUCUUCUUAGCUUACUACAAAUCUAAGCUCGAAAACCUCCUCUCAGUAAACUUAAGCCAUGGCAAUGAAACCCAACUGAAAGUCACCUGUUUUAACCGGAAAUUCUCAUGUUGCUUUGUAUUCCACAUCCCACCACGUCCAUCUCGAUCCGAAUUACAAUUUCGACUCAUACAUUUCUAUGAGUAAAAAAAACACAGCAAAAGGAGGGACCUUUAUUGGACUGGAGAUGCUCAUUAUUGACGACACAGGACAAGUUGAUUCAGUGUUAUUGAUGACGUUCUUUACUCCAUCAACCAACUCCAAUCAAAGAUUCUUCAUUCAAUUAAUCUUCUACACGAAGCAGUGGAAAUCCAGCUAUAAAAAGAUUCUUCAUUCAAUUAAUCUUCUACACGAAGCAGUGGAAAUCCAGCUAUAAAAAGAUUCUUCAUUCAAUUAAUCUUUAACUCAAUGACGUUCUUUACUCCAUCAUCCUCCCAAAAACGUUUUCAGAAGAAAACUUGAGUUUAGAUUUUUUUUUCUUUAUUAAUUAAUUUAGAAAGCUUGAGUUUAGAUGAUUUUUAUUUCGUUUAUUGAUUUAGUAAGCUUGAGUUUAGAUCAUGUUAGAUGAUUUUGGUUUUGUUUAAUGAUUUUGUUUUCGUUUGUUGGUACGACGUGGUAGGGAGCAGAGUUAGAUGAUAUUCAGCAGAUGAGGAACACUCAUGAUUAUUUCAUUAAGUUUGUUGGAAGCAUGGCAUCGACUUUUUGGACACAAAGACGUAGCGUGCAGUUCAACUGAUACUCUCAAGUGGUGUGCAUAACCAUUCAUGGAGGCAUCAACUUUAGAGGAGACAUGAAUAAAAUUUUCUACGGCUACAGUCUCUAAGCGCUCAAAAGCCUUGGCAUCAUUAACUGGCGAUAUUCCUCUAGCUUAUGAUGAUCAAUUCGAGAAACCUGUGUGGUCUUGGAAAGGUAUUUUGGUUAAUAUACCAACAAAGAUGAGACAUGAUGGUUUGUGUUGUACUGGGGAGAGCGGACCACAGCUUAAGGAUGAAUUGAUCAGAAGAGGAUUCAACCUAUUAGAGUUCGUACCGUGUGGGACUGUUUCGGUCAUUCAGGAACCGGGAUAGUUGAGUUUAACAGAGACUGGAAUGGACUUAACGAUGCUUUGCUGUCCAAGAAGGCUUAUCAAGAAGAUGGUCAUGGUAAAAAAGAUUGGCUGAGUGGUGGUGGUGCUGCUGACUCUAGCCUUUACGCAUGGCUUGCCAAUACUGAUGAUUAUUAUAGGGCUGCUAACUAUAUAGGAGAGUACUUGGGGAAGAUGGGUGACCUCAAAAGUAUUUCUAGGUUUGCAGAAGAAGAGGCUAGGAAAGAUCAUAAGCUUGUGGUGCGUCUGAACGUAAUCUCUGAGAACAUACAGAGCCGGUUGAGGAUGCUAGAGGAAAAAUUCUCAAAGACUUCGAUUAAACUUAAAUGUGAGACUGAAGAAAAAUAUAAGAUUCUCCACGGUUACAAUCAAGGUGGGCUUAACCCUAUAGCUAUGUAGUAGAUAUGUGUAUUGCUUUUGCUUAUAUUCAUGUUACAUUUUUUAUUUUUGCAUCUGAAGAUCUCACGGGAAGACAACAAAGAUCGACUGCUCAUUUCAAUAUAAUCUUUGCUGAUC